GACAGAGGGUGCAAACGUUGUUCGGAAUUACUGGGCGUAAAGCGCGUGUAGGCGGCUCGGCAAGUCGGAUGUGAAAGCCCCCGGCUCAACCGGGGAAGUGCAUCCGAAACUACCGAGCUCGAGUGUCGGAGAGGGAAGUGGAAUUCCCGGUGUAGAGGUGAAAUUCGUAGAUAUCGGGAGGAACACCAGUGGCGAAGGCGGCUUCCUGGACGAACACUGACGCUGAGACGCGACAGCGUGGGGAGCAAAC
This 250-nucleotide ribosomal RNA is filed under the name uncultured delta proteobacterium. RNAcentral's name for it is "partial 16S ribosomal RNA". It matches the Rfam family "Bacterial small subunit ribosomal RNA", at positions 524 to 773 of the family's 1533-position model. The record is from RNAcentral. Lineage: Bacteria; Deltaproteobacteria.